RNAcentral lists this ribosomal RNA (579 nucleotides) under Streptomyces sp. MDRC-110. RNAcentral describes it as "bacterial SSU rRNA". It matches the Rfam family "Bacterial small subunit ribosomal RNA", at positions 292 to 882 of the family's 1533-position model. Lineage: Bacteria; Bacillati; Actinomycetota; Actinomycetes; Kitasatosporales; Streptomycetaceae. The record is from RNAcentral.
CUGAGAGGGCGACCGGCCACACUGGGACUGAGACACGGCCCAGACUCCUACGGGAGGCAGCAGUGGGGAAUAUUGCACAAUGGGCGAAAGCCUGAUGCAGCGACGCCGCGUGAGGGAUGACGGCCUUCGGGUUGUAAACCUCUUUCAGCAGGGAAGAAGCGAAAGUGACGGUACCUGCAGAAGAAGCGCCGGCUAACUACGUGCCAGCAGCCGCGGUAAUACGUAGGGCGCGAGCGUUGUCCGGAAUUAUUGGGCGUAAAGAGCUCGUAGGCGGCUUGUCACGUCGGUUGUGAAAGCCCGGGGCUUAACCCCGGGUCUGCAGUCGAUACGGGCAGGCUAGAGUUCGGUAGGGGAGAUCGGAAUUCCUGGUGUAGCGGUGAAAUGCGCAGAUAUCAGGAGGAACACCGGUGGCGAAGGCGGAUCUCUGGGCCGAUACUGACGCUGAGGAGCGAAAGCGUGGGGAGCGAACAGGAUUAGAUACCCUGGUAGUCCACGCCGUAAACGGUGGGCACUAGGUGUGGGCGACAUUCCACGUCGUCCGUGCCGCAGCUAACGCAUUAAGUGCCCGCAGAGGAAAAA